This 253-nucleotide ribosomal RNA is filed under the name uncultured bacterium. RNAcentral describes it as "partial 16S ribosomal RNA". It matches the Rfam family "Bacterial small subunit ribosomal RNA", at positions 524 to 776 of the family's 1533-position model. The record is from RNAcentral.
UACAGAGGUCUCAAGCGUUGUUCGGAUUCAUUGGGCGUAAAGGGUGCGUAGGUGGCGCGGUAAGUCGGGUGUGAAAUUUCGGAGCUUAACUCCGAAACUGCAUUCGAUACUGCCGUGCUUGAGGACUGGAGAGGAGACUGGAAUUUACGGUGUAGCGGUGAAAUGCGUAGAUAUCGUAAGGAAGACCAGUGGCGAAGGCGGGUCUCUGGACAGUUCCUGACACUGAGGCACGAAGGCCAGGGGAGCAAACGGG